This 1532-nucleotide long non-coding RNA is filed under the name Vulpes vulpes (red fox). RNAcentral describes it as "lncRNA (ENSVVUG00000026741.1)". The record is from RNAcentral. Lineage: Eukaryota; Metazoa; Chordata; Mammalia; Carnivora; Canidae.
CCCCGGUUGAGCCCCUUCCCACGUGCUCCUGGCGGGGAGGAAGAGGGCGCCUUGGCAGGAGCUCGCGGCAAGUUUGACGAUGUGGACAAGGACUGGCCCCUAAGGAAAAGUCCAGCUUCCGGCAAGAGCCGGUGUCAUUGCUCUGGCACUGCUGAAAAGCAGCCAGAUCACUUGGAUGCUCAUGUCACCACGACCCUUUCUGAUUUCUCUUCUCUACAGAUCACUGUCCUCAUGUACAGAGCCUCACGCCUGAUGAACCUGUCCCACAUUGCAGCGUUAAAAACCUGUGUCAGAUGAAACUCAACACCCAGCGUAUUAAAUGCGUUCCAUGGUUGCCCAGAGUUUCUGUGUGAAUCAGAACAGAUGACGAAAGUCAAACAGACAUUACAGGGAGAAAAAAAUCUUACACAGGCAUUAUCAUUUUUUCCCCCCAGGACAGAAGUGUUCGACCAUUUAGCAUUUCGACACUGGAAAGAUGAACUUUCAUGAAAUACUGCUGCUUGGGUGAUCUGUCUCUUUAGAGGCAGACCCAGCUGACCUUUCUGUUAACAUCACAUAUCACUACCUGGCAUGUGUCAGACAGAUAAUUUCUAUUCUGACCAAGAUCCUGCAGUAGAAACUAUGAGAGAUACAAGGAUCAAUGAAGAAGAAUUGCUGCCUUCAAGAUGCAGUGAGUGCAGAAAAAGAGAACUGAACACACACACACAAUCUCUUAUGGGAACAACCCAGUGUGCGGGUGCCCAUUGUGGACACAAAGCAACAGUGCUUUAGAAUCACGCUCCACAAUUUCAAUUUUUAAUGCCGAACCUGUAUCUAUUGCUAAUUAAAACCCUUUUGAGAGUGCAAGAAAUGCUUGGAUUAUUUGAGAUAAAGUUCAAGCGCACUAGCCUGUCCUACACAAGCUGUCUCUGUUUCAUUUUGUGGCCUACACUUUGUGCCUGCAGGGCGGGGUGCGUCUAGAAGCUCCAGGUGUUGCAGAGGGCCAGCUGUGAAGGCCAGGUGGGUGGCAGGGGAGGGGCAGGAAGGAGAGGUUGAGAGGGCUGAGGCAGGAGCCAGCAGCAGUACUGGGCAGGGAGGGGAAUGGUGGGAAAGCAGAGUGGCUAAGACGGAAGCUUUGGGGUUGGUCAGAGACACAGUCAAGGCCAGUAAGAAGGAGACAGAAAGGAUGUGGAGGGUGGUUGCUCGCCAGCCGUGGUGUGAGGCCAAGUAUGUAACAUGAACACUUUGCAGCUUUUUGGUCAAACUGCUUCUAGCUGCCUUCCUAUCAGCCCAAUGUGCAAGAGAAAGCAUACAAUUCCCCAGCCUGUGUAUCGCCAAAGUUCAGAUUGCUACAGUGCCUGAAACUUCUAACAAGUCAACACAUCUCUCCCCUUCUAAAGACACUCCAAUCUGUGGUACUAUGUCCUAAGUCACAUUUGAUAUCUUUGUAUGAGGUUUUGGUUUUACAUUUAGGCAAAGAGUUCCUUGGUUUUCAAAAUAUUUUAUUUGUUAUCACGCACCAAAUAGUUUAUUUUAGGAUCCUGGGAUCUUUC